RNAcentral lists this ribosomal RNA (253 nucleotides) under uncultured bacterium. RNAcentral's name for it is "partial 16S ribosomal RNA". It matches the Rfam family "Bacterial small subunit ribosomal RNA", at positions 524 to 776 of the family's 1533-position model. The record is from RNAcentral.
UACGAAGGGGGCUAGCGUUGUUCGGAAUAACUGGGCGUAAAGCGCACGUAGGCGGAUUUGUAAGUCAGGGGUGAAAUCCCGGGGCUCAACCUCGGAACUGCCUUUGAUACUGCAAGUCUGGAGUCCGGAAGAGGUUAGUGGAAUUCCUAGUGUAGAGGUGAAAUUCGUAGAUAUUGGGAAGAACACCAGUGGCGAAGGCGGCUCACUGGUCCGGUUCUGACGCUGAGGCGCGAAAGUGUGGGGAGCAAACAGG